AUCGAGCCCCCCGCCGCCGCGCUGCGCGCUAACCAGGCCCCCACCGCCGUGCCGCCCAAUGCCCCAUCCAGCCCCACGUAGCCGCACCACGCCCCCAUCCAAGCCGAGGCCGCCGCGGGCACAUCCCCAUCGAGGAGCACCUGCCUUCGUCCCCACCUUUGAUGGCCGUCUCCAUCCUCUGCUCCAGGUGGAACGCUAUACACGAAGUCGUAGCUCCGUUUGUGACCCCCGCCUACUCCUCCUAGGACGCCACUGUGGCUGAGGCAAGCGACUCCGCUCGGCCAUAUCUACAUCAGUGUGCUUCGUAAACGAGAGGUCAGUAAAGCAACUCCAUGUUUCCAUCUGUGGCUCUACAACUUUCCACAAAGAACCAUGGUAUGUUCAUAGUUGAUAUGCAUUAGAAUUAGAGAUUUUAGUAUCAGGGUAAAUUAGUUCUCUUUGGUCAGAAGUUUCUUGGUUGGGGGGAGAACAUAUUUUGAAUUUGUUGAACCUCUUGCAGUCCCGUUUGUGCUUGAUGGUACAGAUUAUUGUGAAGAUUUAUUUGCCAGGAGUCAUCUAGAUAUUCUAAUGCCACUGUGCAGUCUUUGUACAAAGCAAACGAAUAUAGUGUUGCAAACUCUAUUGAAUCGACAUGUUGUCCAUCCUUCCAAAAGAGUGUUGUGUGCUGCCAUUUCCAGAUUUGACUUGUAUCUCUGAAAUUAAUAUCUGGAGACUGUAUAAUAUGCUAAUGGAAAGGGGACCAGGUUACAGAAAGAUGGAGGAUGGAGCGGCUAAAUUCUUUACAUUCUGGUUAGAAAUUAUAUUCUUCUUGCAUUAAAUUAUAUUCUUCUUGCUGAAUUGAAAUUCAGUUACUUUCUUGCACUGAACAGUUAUGCACACAUUUCUACUUGGUUAAUUAUAGGUGCUAUUUGACUAGGCCGCUGUGAUAGAAACCAGUAAUUGCCACAUGGCUUGAGAUCAUCUUGUAAGGGGGUGGCACAUGCAGAUGGUGCAACAUUGCUGUAUGCAGGAUCUCUGGAUUUUUGUUUUUUCCCUUUAGUUCUUGUUUUUAUGCUCUUGCUUCAAUCUGUGCUAUCAAAUUGCUUUGUAAAGAAUACAUUUCUGCACUAAGAUUCACAAGCAGUUGGUUCCAUGACAGUAUCCUAUCUCCUGUAUCUGUUUUAGAUAACCAAUUUUGCCUCUUCUAAACUGUAAUCAGGGGUAGACCAUAAAUUAAAGAUCGAGUUAAGACUGAAGAUUGCUAACACCCUAAUCAGAAUGGAGGAGUUGUUCUGUUAAUUAAUUGCUGCUUGCAUCUUCUUCUAUUGGUUGUGUUUUGCACAUAUUGUGUGGAUUGAAACUCUAAUUCAGUUUGCUACGGCGAAUAAGAUUUCAAAUUUUCCUUAUGGGAGAGAGGAUAAGAUUCAGUUUUUUUUCCAAAAAUAUAUUAAUUUCCUGCCAAUGCAACACAAGAUGACAAUCAUUUCUUCAAGUGCAUAAUAUUUUAAUGUUCUUUUUGCAGAAAAUCAUUGUUUAAACUAUUUGGAUAUCAUGCCUGAAUUAGAGAGGCUACAGAACAUCAUGGAAGCAAUACAUGGACCUGAUAGCACCAAGCACUCCGCAUGGUCAGGAUCAGGGUGAGAUGUAGGGCUAGCGACAGAGCUUGGAUGCAAAUGAUUGCUCUAUCCCAACAAUUGGUUGGAUCUCUGUCUUGAUUGAAGGCAUAUAAUGAUCAUGCCAAAGGACUGGGAUUGAUUUAUGUUGUCAAUGCACACAUUUGGUUAGUCAGCCACUAAGAUGUGUCUAUUACCUUUCCAGCAGAGGUUGUAAGAACUAAGGCUCAUUCUGCUUCUCUUGAGUUAUGUGUAGCUAGCGACUUUGUAGAUCCAUUCAUGUUGUGUUCUUGCCUCGUGAUGUUCUCAUUAAUACCGGGGAAUCUUCAACUUAUGUUCACAUGAUAUUUUUCUAUGGUUCUAAUUUAUUUCUGUGAUGCUUGCC
Molecule: small RNA, 1977 nt
Filed under: Oryza sativa Japonica Group (Japanese rice)
Lineage: Eukaryota; Viridiplantae; Streptophyta; Magnoliopsida; Poales; Poaceae
Description: sRNA Os05g0199700
Source: RNAcentral